This 118-nucleotide small nucleolar RNA is filed under the name Dasypus novemcinctus (nine-banded armadillo). Its description in RNAcentral is "Small nucleolar RNA SNORA3/SNORA45 family (ENSDNOG00000026308.1)". It matches the Rfam family "Small nucleolar RNA SNORA3/SNORA45 family". Rfam says of the family: The members of this family belong to the H/ACA class of snoRNAs which are thought to guide the sites of modification of uridines to pseudouridines. This family includes mouse snoMBI-28 and human homologues ACA3 (SNORA3) and ACA3-2 (SNORA45). Both ACA3 and ACA3-2 share the same host gene. Lineage: Eukaryota; Metazoa; Chordata; Mammalia; Cingulata; Dasypodidae. The record is from RNAcentral.
CCUGAGACUAGAGUCACAUCUUGAUACAGCUCUUGUCCUGGUGUGCAAGAGUCCUUGGAGAGAAUCUACUGGUCUUGAUUCACUGGUGUCCCCAUUAGUGCCCUGAUCAGAAACAUGU